Molecule: long non-coding RNA, 632 nt
Filed under: Zonotrichia albicollis (white-throated sparrow)
Lineage: Eukaryota; Metazoa; Chordata; Aves; Passeriformes; Passerellidae
Description: lncRNA (ENSZALG00000014371.1)
Source: RNAcentral
GGGGACCUGGAUUUAACUCUUCUUUUUGAGAUGCAAAUCCACUAUUCUGGAGAGUGCAAUAACUACUAAUCAACUGGCUAAUGAAUUGUUCAAAAUUUGAAUCACAACCAUUCAUACAGCCCAGAAAGGAAUGAUGUCAUGUUGACUGAGAACUGGCUAAAGGAUCAUAAAGAGGAGGAAUUCUCUCCAGCCUACUAAGUCAUCAAUAAAUAUUCUUGGAGUAUACAGAUCUGAAGUACUUAGGGAACACUCAAAAUCUUGGUUUGGCUUUCUUUUCAUCUCUACUGUUUCUCUUUCUGCAAAGGGAGGAUUUGUUCCAUUCUCAACAGAAUAAAUUCAUAAAUAACAGUGGAUCACAUUGUUUUAUAAAAUAGGUGUAGAAAUAUCCCACACAACCAUGCACAUAUAUUACUUUUCUUGGAAGAGAAUGUAAACACAACAGUAAAAAACGUUGAGGUAGUUCCAAUGAAGUUGCUCUUAUACUUGCCAGAAAAGGUGCCUCCAGACAAUUUCUGAUCAGUGUUAAGAAAAAAAUUUGCAAUUUAGGAGAAACAAUUCAUUUCAGUCCAUGAUGAUGUUAAAAAUAAGAGAUUUCCUAUCUGCUUAUUGAAUAAAGAUGACAUAUUUAUACA